This 1343-nucleotide ribosomal RNA is filed under the name Acinetobacter baumannii. RNAcentral's name for it is "partial 23S ribosomal RNA". It matches the Rfam family "Bacterial large subunit ribosomal RNA", at positions 1 to 1396 of the family's 2925-position model. Lineage: Bacteria; Pseudomonadati; Pseudomonadota; Gammaproteobacteria; Moraxellales; Moraxellaceae. The record is from RNAcentral.
AGUCAAGUAAUUAAGUGCAUGUGGUGGAUGCCUUGGCAGUCAGAGGCGAUGAAAGACGUGAUAGCCUGCGAAAAGCUCCGGGGAGGCGGCAAAUAUCCUUUGAUCCGGAGAUGUCUGAAUGGGGGAACCCACCUACUUUAAGGUAGGUAUUGCAACAUGAAUACAUAGUGUUGCAAGGCGAACGAGGGGAAGUGAAACAUCUCAGUACCCUUAGGAAAAGAAAUCAAUUGAGAUUCCCUCAGUAGCGGCGAGCGAACGGGGAUCAGCCCAUUAAGUUAUGUGUGUUUUAGUGGAACGCUCUGGGAAGUGCGAACGUAGAGGGUGAUAUUCCCGUACACGAAAGGGCACACAUAAUGAUGACGAGUAGGGCGAGGCACGUGAAACCUUGUCUGAAUAUGGGGGGACCAUCCUCCAAGGCUAAAUACUCCUGACUGACCGAUAGUGAACCAGUACCGUGAGGGAAAGGCGAAAAGAACCCCUGUGAGGGGAGUGAAAUAGAUCCUGAAACCGCAUGCAUACAAGCAGUGGGAGCACCUUCGUGGUGUGACUGCGUACCUUUUGUAUAAUGGGUCAGCGACUUAUAUUCAGUAGCGAGGUUAACCGUAUAGGGGAGCCGUAGAGAAAUCGAGUCUUAAUAGGGCGUUUAGUUGCUGGGUAUAGACCCGAAACCAGGCGAUCUAUCCAUGAGCAGGUUGAAGGUUGGGUAACACUAACUGGAGGACCGAACCCACUGUCGUUGAAAAGCCAGGGGAUGACUUGUGGAUAGGGGUGAAAGGCUAAUCAAGCCUGGUGAUAGCUGGUUCUCCCCGAAAGCUAUUUAGGUAGCGCCUCGGACGAAUACCAUAGGGGGUAGAGCACUGUUUCGGCUAGGGGGUCAUCCCGACUUACCAAACCGAUGCAAACUCCGAAUACCUAUGAGUACUAUCCGGGAGACAGACUGCGGGUGCUAACGUCCGUAGUCAAGAGGAAAACAAUCCAGACCGCCAGCUAAGGCCCCAAAAUCAUAGUUAAGUGGGAAACGAUGUGGGAAGGCAUAGACAGCUAGGAGGUUGGCUUAGAAGCAGCCACCCUUUAAAGAAAGCGUAAUAGCUCACUAGUCGAGUCGGCCUGCGCGGAAGAUGUAACGGGGCUAAAACUAUGUGCCGAAGCUGCGGAUUUGACAUUAGUCAAGUGGUAGGGGAGCGUUCUGUAAGCCGAUGAAGGUGUAUUGAGAAGUAUGCUGGAGGUAUCAGAAGUGCGAAUGCUGACGUGAGUAACGACAAAACGGGUGAAAAACCCGUUCGCCGAAAGACCAAGGGUUCCAGUCCAACGUUAAUCGGGGCUGGGUGAGUCGACCCCUAAGG